RNAcentral lists this unclassified non-coding RNA (314 nucleotides) under plant metagenome. RNAcentral's name for it is "partial contains 5.8S ribosomal RNA, internal transcribed spacer 2, and large subunit ribosomal RNA". The stretch from base 1 to 105 matches the Rfam family "5.8S ribosomal RNA", at positions 50 to 154 of the family's 154-position model. The record is from RNAcentral.
GAAAUGCGAUAAUUAAUGUGAAUUGCAGAAUUCAGUGAAUCAUCGAGUCUUUGAACGCACAUUGCGCCCCCUGGUAUUCCGUGGGGCAUGCCUGUCCGAGCGUCAUUGCUGCCCUCAAGCACGGCUUGCGUGUUGGGCUUCCGUCCCUGGCAACGGGGACGGGCCCAAAAGGCAGUGGCGGCACCAUGUCUGGUCCUCGAGCGUAUGGGGCUUUGUCACCCGCUCCCGUAGGUCCAGCUGGCAGCUAGCCUCGCAACCAAUCUUUUUAACCAGGUUGACCUCGGAUCAGGUAGGGAUACCCGCUGAACUUAAGC